RNAcentral lists this ribosomal RNA (468 nucleotides) under uncultured bacterium. Its description in RNAcentral is "partial 16S ribosomal RNA". It matches the Rfam family "Bacterial small subunit ribosomal RNA", at positions 28 to 507 of the family's 1533-position model. The record is from RNAcentral.
GACGAACGCUGGCGGCGUGCUUAACACAUGCAAGUCGAACGGAAAGGCCCUGCUUUUGUGGGGUGCUCGAGUGGCGAACGGGUGAGUAACACGUGAGUAACCUGCCCUUGACUUUGGUAUAACUUCAGGAAACUGGGGCUAAUACCGGAUAGGAGCUCCUGCUGCAUGGUGGGGGUUGGAACGUUUCGGCGGUUGGGGAUGGACUCGCGGCUUAUCAGCUUGUUGGUGGGGUAGUGGCUUACCAAGGCUUUGACGGGUAGCCGGCCUGAGAGGGUGACCGGCCACAUUGGGACUGAGAUACGGCGCAGACUCCUACGGGAGGCAGCAGUGGGGAAUAUUGCACAAUGGGCGGAAGCCUGAGGCAGCAACGCCGCGUGCGGGAUGACGGCCUUCGGGUUGUAAACCGCUUUCGCCUGUGACGAAGCGUGAGUGACGGUAAUGGGUAAAGAAGCACCGGCUAACUACGUG